AGCGAACGCUGGCGGCAGGCUUAACACAUGCAAGUCGAGCGGGCAUCCUUGUGGUGUCAGCGGCAGACGGGUGAGUAACGCGUGGGAACGUGCCCUUCGGUUCGGAAUAACUCAGGGAAACUUGAGCUAAUACCGGAUACGUGCGAGAGCAGAAAGGUUUAUCUGCCGAAGGAUCGGCCCGCGUCUGAUUAGCUAGUUGGUGAGGUUACGGCUCACCAAGGCGACGAUCAGUAGCUGGUCUGAGAGGAUGAUCAGCCACACUGGGACUGAGACACGGCCCAGACUCCUACGGGGGGCAGCAGUGGGGAAUAUUGGACAAUGGGGGCAACCCUGAUCCAGCCAUGCCGCGUGAGUGAUGACGGCCUUAGGGUUGUAAAGCUCUUUUCUCCGGGACGAUAAUGACGGUACCGGAGGAAUAAGCCCCGGCUAACUUCGUG
RNAcentral lists this ribosomal RNA (437 nucleotides) under uncultured bacterium. RNAcentral describes it as "partial 16S ribosomal RNA". It matches the Rfam family "Bacterial small subunit ribosomal RNA", at positions 29 to 507 of the family's 1533-position model. The record is from RNAcentral.